RNAcentral lists this ribosomal RNA (636 nucleotides) under Escherichia coli. RNAcentral describes it as "partial 23S ribosomal RNA". It matches the Rfam family "Bacterial large subunit ribosomal RNA", at positions 578 to 1215 of the family's 2925-position model. Lineage: Bacteria; Pseudomonadati; Pseudomonadota; Gammaproteobacteria; Enterobacterales; Enterobacteriaceae. The record is from RNAcentral.
AGCACGCUUAGGCGUGUGACUGCGUACCUUUUGUAUAAUGGGUCAGCGACUUAUAUUCUGUAGCAAGGUUAACCGAAUAGGGGAGCCGAAGGGAAACCGAGUCUUAACUGGGCGUUAAGUUGCAGGGUAUAGACCCGAAACCCGGUGAUCUAGCCAUGGGCAGGUUGAAGGUUGGGUAACACUAACUGGAGGACCGAACCGACUAAUGUUGAAAAAUUAGCGGAUGACUUGUGGCUGGGGGUGAAAGGCCAAUCAAACCGGGAGAUAGCUGGUUCUCCCCGAAAGCUAUUUAGGUAGCGCCUCGUGAAUUCAUCUCCGGGGGUAGAGCACUGUUUCGGCAAGGGGGUCAUCCCGACUUACCAACCCGAUGCAAACUGCGAAUACCGGAGAAUGUUAUCACGGGAGACACACGGCGGGUGCUAACGUCCGUCGUGAAGAGGGAAACAACCCAGACCGCCAGCUAAGGUCCCAAAGUCAUGGUUAAGUGGGAAACGAUGUGGGAAGGCCCAGACAGCCAGGAUGUUGGCUUAGAAGCAGCCAUCAUUUAAAGAAAGCGUAAUAGCUCACUGGUCGAGUCGGCCUGCGCGGAAGAUGUAACGGGGCUAAACCAUGCACCGAAGCUGCGGCAGCGACGCU